RNAcentral lists this small RNA (342 nucleotides) under Histoplasma capsulatum. RNAcentral describes it as "hypothetical RNA". RNAcentral also lists the same sequence under 1 other name. The record is from RNAcentral. Lineage: Eukaryota; Fungi; Ascomycota; Eurotiomycetes; Onygenales; Ajellomycetaceae.
UAAAAUCAUGCCAAGAAAUGGACUGGGACCAAACCAAAUCAAACCAAAUGUGUAAUUCAUGGUCCCGGCGGCCAGUCUAUAAAUUAGUGAUUCUGAUUUCAUUUAAUUUCAUUUUAUAAAAUGAAAUCAAAUGAGAUUAUGAUUUACUCUAUAUAAAUUGGCAGCAGUGAUAGAUUAGCAGUGAUAGAUAGAUUGACAGUGAUAGAUAAAUUGACAGUGGUAGAUAGAUUGACAGCAGUAAUAGAUUAGCAGUGAUAGAUAGAUUGACAGUGGUAUAGAUUAACAGUAGUAGAUAGAUUGACAGUAAUAGAUAGAUUGACAGUGAUAGAUAGAUUAACAGCA